GUUAAACUCAACUUGCUGUUGGUUUUUUUCCCAAUAUUUGUGUGGUAAAAAUGAGUUAUAUAAAAGGCAAUUGCAUUUAUAAUUUUCUUUCGGGACUUAAAAAAUACAACAGCCAUACCAUACUGGCAAAUCUGUUGUGAGUAUUUUUUUUUAAAAAAUGCUAAAGUUAACAGUUAUCGUUUAACUGGAUAAUUAUCUAGUUUUUUUAUGAGGGUUUUCGUAGUUUGAUAAAUGCGAUAACAAAUGUUUUCCAAUUAAAGCAGUGUCGAGUUGGAUUUUAAAUAAUCGAAACUUUUACAGGUUAAACUUUUCUUUAUCAAUCGAAUAGGACGAUUCAAUUAGAAAAAAAACCUUUUGGCAAACAUAAAAAUAAGGAGAUAUGAUAUAAUUGACAAUAAGACAACUCUCUAUCCGAGAGGAAACUGACACAAAAGUAACUAAGAUGUCUAUUACACUAGCCUGAUCUUUGUUGUCAUUAAGUUCAAUGUAUGUCGGUCAUUUUGUGAGGGUAUAUGAGUAUGUUCAUUAUUGUUGGUUUGUUUGUACAUCCGUUAGAAAACCCUUUAAUAAAGUGUGACUGUAUAACGCUAUGGGGUAAAUAAUACGCGCAUCAUCCGGUCGGUUAAAAUUGUCAAAUCCGAAGGCUAGGGUAAGUAUUGUAGGAAUAACAUUAUCUGCAACAUCCCUUUAUUAACGGGAAGUUGUAGAUGUUCACUGAUGUAUCAGUGCAACUAUAUUAUGGUGCUUAUUUUUUGCCAAUUUUGCAGAACAUGCCAGUCAUAUUGAUUGAUACGUAACCAGAGCUGGAUAUAUUCUCCUGUUUUUAAGAAAUCAACAGACAACAUCAGUUGUACAACAUGUGAUGUAACAUUUAUCAAUUGAGUCAAACUAUUUAAAUAUCAUCCUUUUUUUUAUUGUGUACCACAAUUGAUGUAGCCCCUAUUAUUUGAUUGAGUAACAUGUAAUUAUGUUUUUUAUUAUGUUGUAGGUUCGAAAUGAACAUUGUGAAUAACAUCUCGAUGGGAGACGAUUAAGCCAUGAAAAUCUUCGUCUUGUGGAGGAACGACGUUCAUAACACCCACAAAAUAUUUCCACGUUUCACAAGUGUCGUAUUGACUUUGUCAAAGACUUGCUUGGUUUUUCACUUUUUAUUUCUUAUAUUAUUUUGAACAAUUGCGAACAUAAAGAGCGUAUAAAAAAGUAAUAAAAGUUCAAUGACAUGUUUAAAAUAAUACAAAUUAUGUAAUUUUUCGACUGCAAUUUACUUAAAAAUAUGUAUUUUUAAGCAUUAUUCUAUGUUUGCCGUUCUUAUUCUUUGAUUUUUCUAAGCACUGGCCUCCAGUUAUCGUUGUGAAAAGAUAACAAACAAAAUCGUUGAAUGAUAAAUGAUAUGCUUGUUUUACAUUUGUCAUUUAGGGGCCUUUUAUAGCUGAUUAUGUGGUAUGGACUUUCAUUGUUGAAGGCCUACAGUGACCUAUAGUUGCCUCUUUCUGUGUCAUUUGGUCUCUUGUGGCAAUCAUACCAAAUCGUUUUUUUUUAUAUUUGAAUUUAAUUCAAUUGUUGAACUAGGUUUAAGCUAAAGCGACUGUAUGUCAUGGUGCUUGCCAACAAUAUAGUACAAAACACAGUAAAUAGCUUCUAAUAUAUAAAUAGUCUGUGGGAAGAACGGUUCAAAAGUGCCCAAUAUCCUUUAAGUCAUUAGAGUACUAAAAGAGAAAUCAAAAGGCGUCAAAUUUGAAGAAAAAGCAAUACUUUGUUUGUACGAAAUUUUAUAGACAAAUAAAAUUGAGAAUGGAAAUGGAAAAUAUGUCAAAGAGACAACAACCAGACAAAACAACAGAUAACAGCUACAUCUUAAAAGCCUCCAAUGGGUCUUCAACGCAGCAAAACAAAUUCCACAUCCCACCUUAAUUAAACUGAUUGAAAACGAAUGUCAUUAAAAGUUUUGUUUUUCGUUGUUGGUGUUGUAUCUAACACUUUUAUUUUAAAGAUCAACAAACCUAAUAAAAAAGCAAAAAUAAAUAAUUCAGUGAAUGUCAAGAUCAGGAUAAGUUCAAUGACGAACGAUAAUUUAAUAAUUUAUACCGGCAAGUCCGAUGUUUAAUGUCAAUGGGUUUUCCAUUUUAAAAAUAGAUCUUUGAAAUUCCCAUUUCUAAAAAAAAAACGACAACCUUAUUAAUGAACUCUCAUGUACUGAAUAUCUUUUAUUUUA
Molecule: long non-coding RNA, 2212 nt
Filed under: Mytilus galloprovincialis (Mediterranean mussel)
Lineage: Eukaryota; Metazoa; Mollusca; Bivalvia; Mytilida; Mytilidae
Source: RNAcentral